AUAUUGAUUCUUCUUCCUGCUCCUGUUUUAAUACCUCUUCAAAAGCUCUUUUCUCCACAUUGGAGUCAACAUGGCUUCUCAUUUUCUCAAGUCUCUUUUCUUCCAGUUGAGCUUGUAAUUCUUUCCUAGUAUAGGCUGUUCUUAACUGUAGCUGUAAAUUUUUGAUUUCAGGAGAUUCCAUCAACUGCUGCCUGUACUUAUUCCUCCGAAGUUCUUCCCUCUUCAAUUCAUCUAAUUCAUCAGCUAAUGCUUUAUUUUCGAAAUAACCUGAUCCUUUGUUAGAGCAAUGAUAAUCCGCCAUAGUUGAAGGGAAAUUUUUCAAAGUUAAAAUAUAGAAGUAAAGAUAAAAUUUAAGUAACCAAUAGUAUAUGAUUCAAACAAUAAGAAACUAAAUUACGUUAAAUAAAAAUGAUUAUGAUUUAUAAAAAUAAAACAAUGUAAAUUAGUUAUUCAUAAUGAAAAAACUUCCUUAACAAAAGUAAUGUGUAUCAUAGCAACAAAUCAACGAAAGCUAUCAGAGCCAACACGAUUUUAAAAUUAAAAAAUAUUAAAAAUUUUUUUUUAAUUUUUUAUUUUAAGUUAUUAUGAUAAAAUUAGUAAUUUUUUUAAUUUAUUUAUUGGAACUCGGCAAAUAUAAUUUUCACCUGUUUAACAAAAACAUGGUUUUUUGAUUUUAAUUUAAAAUCAGGCCUGCCCGUUGAUUUAAAAAAUUGAAAGGCUGCGGUAUUUUAACUGUACGAAGGUAGCAUAAUCACUUGUCUUUUAAUUGAAGGCUAGAAUGAAUGGUUUAAUGAAAAAUUUUCUUUCUUUAUUUGAUUUCUUUGAAUUUAAUUUUUUAAUUAAAAAGUUAAAAUUUUUUUAUAGGACGAGAAGACCCUUUAGAAAUUUAUUUUUUUUAUAAAUUUUUCUUUUUAGUUAUUAAAGGAUUAAUUUAGAAUGAAAAAUUUUGUUGGGGUGACAGUAGAAUUUUAAUAACUUUUACUAUUUUUUCCAUUUAUUUAUGUUUUGAUCCGGUUUUAUCGAUUAUAAGAUUAAUUUACCUUAGGGAUAACAGCGUUAUUUUUCCGGAGAGUCCUUAUCAAUGGGAAAGUUUGCGACCUCGAUGUUGAAUUAAGAUAAGUUUUGGGUGCAGUUUUUCAAAAUUCUCGGUCUGUUCGACCGUUAAAUUCUUACAUGAUUUGAGUUCAGACCGGUGUGAGCCAGGUCGGUUUCUAUCCUUAUUUUUUUUAUAAUUUAGUACGAAAGGACCAGUUAUAACAAUUAAAUUGUUUUUUA
This 1275-nucleotide ribosomal RNA is filed under the name Rhagovelia humboldti. RNAcentral describes it as "partial 16S ribosomal RNA". The stretch from base 864 to 1217 matches the Rfam family "Archaeal large subunit ribosomal RNA", at positions 2155 to 2712 of the family's 2987-position model. Lineage: Eukaryota; Metazoa; Arthropoda; Insecta; Hemiptera; Veliidae. The record is from RNAcentral.